This 305-nucleotide ribosomal RNA is filed under the name uncultured bacterium. Its description in RNAcentral is "bacterial SSU rRNA". It matches the Rfam family "Bacterial small subunit ribosomal RNA", at positions 337 to 637 of the family's 1533-position model. The record is from RNAcentral.
GCCUACGGGACGCAGCAGUGAGGAAUAUUGGUCAAUGGACGCAAGUCUGAACCAGCCAAGUAGCGUGCAGGAUGACGGCCCUCCGGGUUGUAAACUGCUUUUAGUUGGGAAUAAAAGGGGGCUCGUGAGCCCCGUAUUGUAUGUACCAUCAGAAAAAGGACCGGCUAAUUCCGUGCCAGCAGCCGCGGUAAUACGGAAGGUCCGGGCGUUAUCCGGAUUUAUUGGGUUUAAAGGGAGCGUAGGCCGGCUUUUAAGUCAGCUGUGAAAUCCUGUAGCUUAACUACAGAACUGCAUUUGAAACUAUG